Molecule: ribosomal RNA, 253 nt
Filed under: uncultured bacterium
Lineage: Bacteria
Description: partial 16S ribosomal RNA
Rfam family: Bacterial small subunit ribosomal RNA
Source: RNAcentral
UACGUAGGGUGCAAGCGUUGUCCGGAAUUAUUGGGCGUAAAGAGCUCGUAGGCGGUUUGUUGCGUCGGCUGUGAAAUCCCGAGGCUCAACCUCGGGUCUGCAGUCGAUACGAGCAAACUAGAGUGUUGCAGGGGAGACUGGAAUUCCAGGUGUAGCGGUGAAAUGCGCAGAUAUCAGGAAGAACACCCGUGGCUAAGGCGGCUCUCUAGUACGGUACUGACGCUGAGACGCGAAAGCGUGGGGAGCGAACAGG